RNAcentral lists this ribosomal RNA (253 nucleotides) under uncultured bacterium. RNAcentral's name for it is "partial 16S ribosomal RNA". It matches the Rfam family "Bacterial small subunit ribosomal RNA", at positions 524 to 776 of the family's 1533-position model. The record is from RNAcentral.
UACGGAGGGUGCAACCGUUGCUCGGAAUCAUUGGGCGUAAAGCGCACGUAGGCGGCUUGUUAAGUCGGAUGUGAAAGCCCUCGGCUCAACCGAGGAAGUGCAUACGAAACUGGCGAGCUUGAAUAUGGAAGAGGGUCGCGGAAUUCCCGGUGUAGAGGUGAAAUUCGUAGAUAUCGGGAGGAACACCAGUGGCGAAGGCGGCGACCUGGGCCAAUAUUGACGCUGAGGUGCGAAAGCGUGGGGAGCAAACAGG